GAUGAAGAACGCAGCGAAAUGCGAUAAGUAAUGUGAAUUGCAGAAUUCAGUGAAUCAUCGAAUCUUUGAACGCACAUUGCGCCCCUUGGUAUUCCGAGGGGCAUGCCUGUUCGAGCGUCAUUUCAACCCUCAAGCACAGCUUGGUCUUGGGCUUCGCCGCUAACCCGGCGGGUCUUAAAAUCAGUGGCGGUGCCGUCGGGCCCUGAGCGCAGUAAUUUCUCUCGCUAUAGGGUCCCGGCGGAUGCUGGCCAGUAACCCCCAAUUUUCUAUGGUUGACCUCGGAUCAGGUAGGGAUACCCGCUGAACUUAAGCAUAUCAAUACGGAGGA
This 328-nucleotide unclassified non-coding RNA is filed under the name soil metagenome. RNAcentral describes it as "partial contains 5.8S ribosomal RNA, internal transcribed spacer 2, and large subunit ribosomal RNA". The stretch from base 1 to 120 matches the Rfam family "5.8S ribosomal RNA", at positions 35 to 154 of the family's 154-position model. The record is from RNAcentral.